RNAcentral lists this ribosomal RNA (250 nucleotides) under uncultured bacterium. Its description in RNAcentral is "partial 16S ribosomal RNA". It matches the Rfam family "Bacterial small subunit ribosomal RNA", at positions 524 to 773 of the family's 1533-position model. The record is from RNAcentral.
GACGGAGGGGGCAAGCGUUGUCCGGACUUACUGGGCGUAAAGCGCACGUAGGUGGCCCGAUGCGUCGGUGCUGAAAGCGCCAGGCUUAACCUGGCGAGGCGUGCCGAUACGAUCAGGCUUGAGGCAGGCAGAGGGUGGCGGAAUUCCGGGUGUAGUGGUGAAAUGCGUAGAGAUCCGGAGGAACGCCUGUGGCGAAAGCGGCCACCUGGGCCUGUCCUGACACUGAGGUGCGAAAGCGUGGGGAGCGAAC